This 254-nucleotide ribosomal RNA is filed under the name uncultured bacterium. Its description in RNAcentral is "partial 16S ribosomal RNA". It matches the Rfam family "Bacterial small subunit ribosomal RNA", at positions 524 to 776 of the family's 1533-position model. The record is from RNAcentral.
UACGUAGGGUCCGAGCGUUGUCCGGAAUUACUGGGCGUAAAGAGCUCGUAGGUGGUUCGGUAAGUCGGAUGUGAAAUCUCCAGGCUCAACCUGGAGGGGUCAUUCGAUACUGCCGUGACUGGAGGUCGGUAGGGGAGUGUGGAAUUCCUGGUGGAGCGGUGAAAUGCGCAGAUAUCAGGAGGAACACCCGUAGCGAAGGCGGCACUCUGGGCCGAUACUGACACUGAGGAGCGAAAGCGUGGGGAGCGAACAGG